UACGGGGGGGGUAAGCGUUGUUCGGAAUUACUGGGCGUAAAGGGCUCGUAGGCGGCCAACUAAGUCAGACGUGAAAUCCCUCAGCUUAACUGGGGAACUGCGUCUGAUACUGCUCAGCUCGAGUCCGGAAGAGGAGUGUGGAAUUCCUGGUGUAGCGGUGAAAUGCGCAGAUAUCAGGAGGAACACCAAUUGCGAAGGCAGCACUCUGGGACGUGACUGACGCUGAGACGCGAAAGCGUGGGGAGCAAACAGG
This 253-nucleotide ribosomal RNA is filed under the name uncultured bacterium. RNAcentral's name for it is "partial 16S ribosomal RNA". It matches the Rfam family "Bacterial small subunit ribosomal RNA", at positions 524 to 776 of the family's 1533-position model. The record is from RNAcentral.